UACGUAGGGUGCAAGCGUUGUCCGGAAUUACUGGGCGUAAAGCGCGCGUAGGCGGAUCGUUAAGUCGGGGGUGAAAUCCUGGAGCUCAACUCCAGAACUGCCUUCGAUACUGGCGAUCUUGAGUCCGGGAGAGGUGAGUGGAACUGCGAGUGUAGAGGUGAAAUUCGUAGAUAUUCGCAAGAACACCAGUGGCGAAGGCGGCUCACUGGCCCGGUACUGACGCUGAGGUGCGAAAGCGUGGGGAGCGAACAGG
Molecule: ribosomal RNA, 253 nt
Filed under: uncultured bacterium
Lineage: Bacteria
Description: partial 16S ribosomal RNA
Rfam family: Bacterial small subunit ribosomal RNA
Source: RNAcentral